RNAcentral lists this ribosomal RNA (253 nucleotides) under uncultured bacterium. Its description in RNAcentral is "partial 16S ribosomal RNA". It matches the Rfam family "Bacterial small subunit ribosomal RNA", at positions 524 to 776 of the family's 1533-position model. The record is from RNAcentral.
UACGUAGGGCGCAAGCGUUGUCCGGAAUUAUUGGGCGUAAAGAGCUCGUAGGCGGUUUGUCGCGUCUGCCGUGAAAGUCCGGGGCUUAACUCCGGAUCUGCGGUGGGUACGGGCAGACUUGAGUGAUGUAGGGGAGACUGGAAUUCCUGGUGUAGCGGUGAAAUGCGCAGAUAUCAGGAGGAACACCGAUGGCGAAGGCAGGUCUCUGGGCAUUAACUGACGCUGAGGAGCGAAAGCAUGGGGAGCGAACAGG